RNAcentral lists this ribosomal RNA (496 nucleotides) under uncultured bacterium. Its description in RNAcentral is "partial 16S ribosomal RNA". It matches the Rfam family "Bacterial small subunit ribosomal RNA", at positions 28 to 506 of the family's 1533-position model. The record is from RNAcentral.
GAUGAACGCUGGCGGCGUGCCUAAUACAUGCAAGUCGAGCGAACGGACGAGAAGCUUGCUUCUCUGAUGUUAGCGGCGGACGGGUGAGUAACACGUGGAUAACCUACCUAUAAGACUGGGAUAACUUCGGGAAACCGGAGCUAAUACCGGAUGAUAUUUUGAACCGCAUGGUUCAAAAGUGAAAGACGGUCUUGCUGUCACUUAUAGAUGGAUCCGCGCUGCAUUAGCUAGUUGGUAAGGUAACGGCUUACCAAGGCAACGAUGCAUAGCCGACCUGAGAGGUGGGUCGGCCCCACUGGACCUGGGCACCGGCCCAACCUCCUAGGGGGGGCGGAGGGGGGGAAUCUUCCGCAAGGGGCGAAAACCUACCGGGCAACCCCCGGGGGGGGAAGGAGGUUCUUCGGAUCGAAAAACUUUUUUAUUGGGAAAAAAAAAAUGUGUAAAUAACGGUGCCAAUUUGAGCGGUACCAAAUAAGAAAGCCCCGGCAACCUCCGG